This is a long non-coding RNA of Serinus canaria (Common canary), 224 nucleotides long. RefSeq lists it as uncharacterized. The record is from RefSeq and is a predicted model, not a curated record. Lineage: Eukaryota; Metazoa; Chordata; Aves; Passeriformes; Fringillidae. The transcript is spliced from 3 exons.
GACUUCCAGAUCUUCAACAAAAAUCAAGCAUGAAAGAUUCCCAACCAUAGGAGGGCACUUCUCAAACUUUUACACGGGCAAGGACUUCAGAUUCAUGUGGAACUGGAACCUGGAUGACACAGUUUUUCCAUUACACAGCACAGGUCAUUUAGAGGUGUGAGCAGCUAAGGAUGAAGGUAACAGGUGAUAGGUGCAGGAACAAGUGUGAAGAGGACUGAGAGCAG